GGCCCUACGGGGUGCAGCAGUCGCGAAACCUUGACAAUGCGCGAAAGCGUGAUCAGGGGACUCUGAGUGUAAACCUAACGGUUUACUUUAAUCAGCUGAAAAG
RNAcentral lists this ribosomal RNA (103 nucleotides) under uncultured archaeon. RNAcentral's name for it is "partial 16S ribosomal RNA". It matches the Rfam family "Archaeal small subunit ribosomal RNA", at positions 319 to 424 of the family's 1478-position model. The record is from RNAcentral.